Molecule: unclassified non-coding RNA, 343 nt
Filed under: soil metagenome
Description: partial contains 5.8S ribosomal RNA, internal transcribed spacer 2, and large subunit ribosomal RNA
Rfam family: 5.8S ribosomal RNA (bases 1-120)
Source: RNAcentral
GAUGAAGAACGUAGCGAAAUGCGAUAAGUAAUGUGAAUUGCAGAUUCCAGUGAAUCAUCGAAUCUUUGAACGCACAUUGCGCCCGCCAGCAUUCUGGCGGGCAUGCCUGUUCGAGCGUCAUUUCAACCCUCGACCUCCCUUUGGGGAAGUCGGCGUUGGGGACCGGCAGCACACCGCCGGCCCUGAAAUGGAGUGGCGGCCCGUCCGCGGCGACCUCUGCGUAGUAAACCAACUCGCACCGGAACCCCGACGUGGCCACGCCGUAAAACACCCAACUUCUGAACGUUGACCUCGAAUCAGGUAGGACUACCCGCUGAACUUAAGCAUAUCAAUAAGCGGAGGA